Gasterosteus aculeatus aculeatus (three-spined stickleback) is the source of this 1271-nucleotide long non-coding RNA. Lineage: Eukaryota; Metazoa; Chordata; Actinopteri; Perciformes; Gasterosteidae. The record is from Ensembl.
GUCCCAGGCUUGGUUGCCAUAGUGAUAGCGGCAUGUGUCCUGAACCUCAAUCGGGGUGCUGGUCAUCUCCUUGGUAACCGUUAUCUUCCUGGCCUGGUAUUGGAUGACGAAACACUAUGGCGACUGGGUGUGGAAGAAGCUCUCUCCUAUCAAAGACCGAAACUGGUUCUUGAUCAGAUGCGCGUAGUGUACGUGUCACUGCUGGUGUCCAUGUCUUUUGUUGGUUUGCUGCUCUUCAUCUUCCUAAUGCAGAUAUUCUCCAAAUAGGUAGAGGAUGCACACCUACGCACACACACACACACACACACACACGCACACACACACACACACACACACACACACACACACACACACACACACACACGCGCACACACACACACAUACAGACACACUGCUGGUUCAUGUAUUGGACACAUGUUUUGCAGUGGUGUGGUCAAACUUGCAGUGCAGGAUUGGGCUACAGUUUGUCUUUGGUCUGCCGAUCCUCAGGACCAUUUUUGGCUUCGUUGGAAUUGAAUGGCUCGGAAAAAAAGUAGAGAUUGGUCUCGGAUGCAGGUUACCAUGGCAACAUCUCCAGCCGAAUCGAUGGCUGCUGCUGGAAAUGUAUUCUUGGAACAGACAGUGUCACCUCUCCUUAUUCGUCCAUGCAUCAGUGGACUAACUUGCUCUGAGAUCCCUGCUGUGAUGACAGCAGGUUUUGCCAGCGUCUCUGGUGUUUUGGGAGCCUUUAUCUUCUUUUUCUGUAAAUAUUUACUUUGAGAAGGAGUUAAUAAUCAGCUUUAUUUGAUUAUCUAAUAUACAAGCUUUGCCAAGGUAACACAACUGUGUUAAAUAAUGUAAUGAUUAAUCACCUUACUGUGAGACCCCCAAAUAAUAUUUAGAGGGAUGAUGUCUUACUCAACAGCAGCUCACCUACAGAUAUCCCCAGUUAUUCUCAGUAAUGUAUUGUAUUUAACGGGAAAGUCCAUAAAUAAAUACAACAUGUUUAGCAGUGAAUAAAACAUGAAUAUAUUUAAAAAGGUUGUCAGAGUAGAUUGAAAAGCAUGGCACUAACCAUGAGAAAUACUUAAUAACAAGUAUGUAUAACUUUAUAUACAUGUAUGACAAACACCAAAAUGAGCUGCUUUGAUCGUAGUUCCUCACAGUAAAGGGAUUGCAGGUUGUAGCUAAAAAUACUAAUGCUUACAUAUCUAUAUACGUGUAAAUAUAUAUAUACACGUAUAUAGAUAUGUAUUUAUAUAUAUAUAUAUAUAUAUAUAUAUAUAUAAAAA